AUUAUAUGCUAUAUUUGUUAAUUGAAUAAUAUAAAGGGAAAUUAUGUAACAAUAUAGAAAACUUUAGGAAACGUUUUGAACGCUUAUAUAGGUAUGAUUUCAAUGGCAUCUUGUGGAGAUCCGAAGAGUAUAGGAUUUGGAAAGCGACACAAUCAAGUUUCGAACAAAAACUCUUAUUUUUUUAACAAAUUUAACCUGCCAAAGAAGAAAAAGACAUGCAUUACAUAAAACCCUAGCAGCUUAUGUCCAAUUUUUCAACAAAUAUUUAUGAUAGUCCUGCAAAAGUGGCAAUCAGUAUUGAAUCCAGCUUGGUCAAACCAUCAACGAACUCAUUUACCAUGACACUGUUACAGACAGCAUAAUCAUCUGGACUUUAACCCAUUAGAAAAUUAUUUCAUAUAAAUUACAUAAAAAAGUACAGCAUCAAUUGAUCAAGUUUCUUAAUUUUAUUUGGGCUGUCCUAGUGUAGUGCAAGUGAUUGGUAAAUCACAGUGGUAAUGGUCUUGAUUAAAUAUUUGCAAGUCUCACUCAAAUUAAAAUUGGGUGAGGAGUCCUGGCUGGCCAUGGACUAAGUGGUCUUGGUGCAUUUGCAAGUAUUUCAAGUUUGUGUCGGAUAUUCCAAAAUUAAGGCCUUUUUGGUUUAGGUUUCAUUCAAUAUGAACCUCUUGAUAGAUGGGUUUAGGAUUUCAUUCAAUAUGAACCUUUUGAUAGAUUCUACCAAUAAACAACCAAAAACUUGAUGUUGCACCAUGUCAUCCCCACAACAUUGCCGACAAGGAGUGACGCAACAUUUCUCAUGUAGUGAUGCACCAUGUCAUCCGCAUAACAUCACCAACAUUGCUACCUGAAAUUCUAUGCUUUGGUGAGGGCUACUUGUCAUUGGCUGCACUACUUAGCUUAUAGUGAGUUUGUGGUUUAUACCAUUGCACAUCACCGAGAAGUAUUUUUCAUAUUUCUAUUGCACAUUGUUUCCCUCUAUGGCAAAUUUGUUGACAAUAUGUUAUCUGUUGUUAAUAGUUUUCCAUUGGCUGGGCUGCUUGAGGAAAUAAUUUUGUAUGAUUUGCAGGUGUUGUUGUGGAGGCCAAAGCUCAACUUGUUGGAAUUCAUGAGCGAGUAAGAAGUGAUAUUGAGGCUAACCAACCUCCAACAUCAUCAGCUCCAAGCACAACACAGGAUGGAGGAAAACGAGUGCCAACCGCAACCAAGCCCAAUGCAGAAGAUGCUGCAGAACUACUGAGGAUGUGCUUGCAAUGUGGAAUACCCAAGACCUACUCCAGUGCACGUGGAAUGGUCUGUCCGGUUUGUGGCGAUAGGCCACCCAACGACACAAGCAAAGAGCCCAAGAAGAAGGGGUCGACGAUCAAAGAUAAAGAAAAAAGCAAGCGGAUGAAGGGACAAUCAUCUCAUGCUACGUGGAAAAGUGAAACAGAGAUGCAACUCAGACAACAAUUUGAUUAGCAUAAUCAGACAACAAUUUGAUUAGCAUAAUUAAGAGAACGCCCCUUUUGCCCUUCUGCCAGCUUGGGACAUUUUUAUGUUUAAGAUCAUGGAGGAAAAAUGUGUAAUCAAACAUGGGUAAAUGCAGUAACCAGCAAUCAAGUAGCAAAUCCACCUAAAUUGGUGAGUUUGCUAUCUGGGAUCUAUGGAGUAUGGGGUGUGGUUGGUGUUGCAUAUUUCCUUCUGAAUUGUUUUAAGGUUAGCCAUGCUUAAUGUUCAUGACUUAAUUAACUUUUGAGGUAAUCUUUUCAUUUUAAUAGAAUGAUUAUGAUCACUUUGAAUGAUAUAAUCCUGUUUAAG
Molecule: unclassified non-coding RNA, 1797 nt
Filed under: Hevea brasiliensis (rubber tree)
Lineage: Eukaryota; Viridiplantae; Streptophyta; Magnoliopsida; Malpighiales; Euphorbiaceae
Source: RNAcentral